UUUAACGGACUUGGCGGCAAGAUAGCUUUUUAGAGGAACCUGCCCUGUAAACGAUGAACCACGAGGGCCCUACUUUUCUUAGUAAUAUUCAGUUUGUAUACCUCUGUUGUUAGUUAGACUCUAAAUAGUAUUUUCAUUUAUGAAAAAAUCAUUGACUUCAAGUAAAGGUGCAGCUUAUAGAAAAGAUAGAGGUGGGUUACAUUUUUAAGAUAAAGGCGUAUAAGAUAAUUUAAAUAAUCUUUGAAGGUGGAUUUAACUGUAAAACUUAAGAAGGUUUGAUUAUAGCUCUAUCUUGUGUA
Molecule: ribosomal RNA, 299 nt
Filed under: Hexelasma velutinum
Lineage: Eukaryota; Metazoa; Arthropoda; Thecostraca; Balanomorpha; Bathylasmatidae
Description: partial 12S ribosomal RNA
Source: RNAcentral